Molecule: ribosomal RNA, 374 nt
Filed under: uncultured organism
Description: partial 16S ribosomal RNA
Rfam family: Bacterial small subunit ribosomal RNA
Source: RNAcentral
GUAGGUGGCAAGCGUUGUCCGGAAUUAUUGGGCGUAAAGCGCGCGCAGGCGGUCCUUUAAGUCUGAUGUGAAAGCCCACGGGCUCAACCGUGGAGGGUCAUUGGAAACUGGGGGACUUGAGUACAGAAGAGGAAAGCGGAAUUCCAAGUGUAGCGGUGAAAUGCGUAGAGAUUUGGAGGAACACCAGUGGCGAAGGCGGCUUUCUGGUCUGUAACUGACGCUGAGGCGCGAAAGCGUGGGGAGCAAACAGGAUUAGAUACCCUGGUAGUCCACGCCGUAAACGAUGAGUGCCAAGUGUUAGGGGGUUUCCGCCCCUUAGUGCUGCAGCUAACGCAUUAAGCACUCCGCCUGGGGAGUACGGCCGCAAAGGCUGA